AGACCCGAAACCCGGUGAUCUAGCCAUGGGCAGGUUGAAGGUUGGGUAACACUAACUGGAGGACCGAACCGACUAAUGUUGAAAAAUUAGCGGAUGACCUGUGGCUGGGGGUGAAAGGCCAAUCAAACCGGGAGAUAGCUGGUUCUCCCCGAAAGCUAUUUAGGUAGCGCCUCGUGAAUUCAUCUCCGGGGGUAGAGCACUGUUUCGGCUAGGGGGCCAUCCCGGCUUACCAACCCGAUGCAAACUGCGAAUACCGGAGAAUGUUAUCACGGGAGACACACGGCGGGUGCUAACGUCCGUCGUGAAGAGGGAAACAACCCAGACCGCCAGCUAAGGUCCCAAAGUCAUGGUUAAGUGGGAAACGAUGUGGGAAGGCCCAGACAGCCAGGAUGUUGGCUUAGAAGCAGCCAUCAUUUAAAGAAAGCGUAAUAGCUCACUGGUCGAGUCGGCCUGCGCGGAAGAUGUAACGGGGCUAAACCAUGCACCGAAGCUGCGGCAGCGACACUGUGUGUUGUUGGGUAGGGGAGCGUUCUGUAAGCCUGUGAAGGUGGCCUGUGAGGGUUGCUGGAGGUAUCAGAAGUGCGAAUGCUGACAUAAGUAACGAUAAAGCGGGUGAAAAGCCCGCUCGCCGGAAGACCAAGGGUUCCUGUCCAACGUUAAUCGGGGCAGGGUGAGUCGACCCCUAAGGCGAGGCCGAAAGGCGUAGUCGAUGGGAAACGGGUUAAUAUUCCCGUACUUGGUGUUACUGCGAAGGGGGGACGGAGAAGGCUAUGUUGGCCGGGCGAC
RNAcentral lists this ribosomal RNA (786 nucleotides) under Salmonella enterica subsp. enterica serovar Newport. Its description in RNAcentral is "partial 23S ribosomal RNA". It matches the Rfam family "Bacterial large subunit ribosomal RNA", at positions 711 to 1499 of the family's 2925-position model. The record is from RNAcentral. Lineage: Bacteria; Pseudomonadati; Pseudomonadota; Gammaproteobacteria; Enterobacterales; Enterobacteriaceae.